AUACUUACCUGGCAGGGGAGAUUCCAUGGUCACGAAGGUGGUUUUCCCAGGGCGAGGUUUAUCCAUGGCACUGUGGAUGUGCCGACCCCUGGGAUUUCCCAGAAGUGGGGAACGGAACUGCAUAAUCUGUGGAAGUGGGGCACUAUAUCCGUCCCCCAG
This is a small nuclear RNA of Echinops telfairi (small Madagascar hedgehog), 159 nucleotides long. Its record names the gene U1. It matches the Rfam family "U1 spliceosomal RNA". From Rfam's summary of the family: U1 is a small nuclear RNA (snRNA) component of the spliceosome (involved in pre-mRNA splicing). Its 5' end forms complementary base pairs with the 5' splice junction, thus defining the 5' donor site of an intron. Lineage: Eukaryota; Metazoa; Chordata; Mammalia; Afrosoricida; Tenrecidae. The record is from Ensembl.